UUACGAGGUCAGGACACUGUGAGGAUUGACAGAUUGAAAGCUCUUUCUUGAUUCAGUGGGUGGUGGUGCAUGGCCGUUCUUAGUUGGUGGAGUGAUUUGUCUGGUUAAUUCCGUUAACGAACGAGACCUUAACCUGCUAAAUAGUCACGCGAACCGGUCCGCAAGGGCUCAAAGUUCGCGGCUCGACUUCUUAGAGGGACUAUUCGCACCUGCCAGCGAAUGGAAGUUUGAGGCAAUAACAGGUCUGUGAUGCCCUUAGAUGUUCUCGGCCGCACGCGCGUUACACUGACGGAGUCAACGAGCGUUUUUCCUUGCCCGACAGGGCUGGGUAACCUCCUGAAACUCCGUCGUGAUGGGGAUAGAUCAUUGCAAUUAUUGAUCUUGAACGAGGAAUUCCUAGUAGGCGCGAGUCAUCAACUCGCGCCGAUUACGUCCCUGCCCUUUGUACACACCGCCCGUCGCUCCUACCGAUUGAACGGUCCGGCGAGAACUCCGGAUGGUC
This 502-nucleotide ribosomal RNA is filed under the name Vermamoeba vermiformis. Its description in RNAcentral is "SSU rRNA". It matches the Rfam family "Eukaryotic small subunit ribosomal RNA", at positions 1215 to 1719 of the family's 1831-position model. The record is from RNAcentral. Lineage: Eukaryota; Tubulinea; Echinamoebida; Vermamoebidae.